Long non-coding RNA from Telopea speciosissima, 266 nucleotides. RefSeq lists it as uncharacterized. The transcript has 2 exons. Lineage: Eukaryota; Viridiplantae; Streptophyta; Magnoliopsida; Proteales; Proteaceae. The record is from RefSeq and is a predicted model, not a curated record.
AGUAGCAGGAACCUAUUCUUAAACAGAACCAUACAGAUGGAGAAUACAGUGAAUCAGGAGGGACGAAAAAAUAACGAAAAAAAGAUAUCUAUCCCAAUAAUCUCAAAGUACGUAUUAUGAAAUGAUCGCUGAAUUGAGAAGAAGAGAGAGAGCUAGGGAGAAGAGGAUUACCAGAGAAAUGCUUGCAGGAUUUGAUUCGGGAGAGCAAACCAACGAGGAAAAUAUCUUAGGAAGGUCAAAGUCCUUUUGUAACAAAGGAAACCCUA